Struthio camelus australis is the source of this 1116-nucleotide RNA transcript. It is a transcript of the gene named TIR domain-containing adapter molecule 2-like, with no coding region annotated. The record is from RefSeq and is a predicted model, not a curated record. Lineage: Eukaryota; Metazoa; Chordata; Aves; Struthioniformes; Struthionidae.
UGUGAAAGGGAUGCUGUUUCCCAAGUAAGCAGCAUGGGUUUUGCAGCUUGCGUUCUGCACCUCUGAAGCAAAGCAAGCUUGACGUGCUGUCAAGGAACUGCCCUGUGAAAUUCAAAUUUAUAGUCGUUGUUCGAAACCACUCAAAGGAGCGGGGCUUGCGUGGAUAGCCUGAUGUCAUCGUGCACGACUGGAAGCAAGCUGUGCUGCCCUAAGGUUCCUGAAGUAAGUGGGAUGAGUUAAUCUGACUGUGCCUGGGAAGACAGCUGUGAACGCUGUGCUCUACUCAUUGCUUCCAUGAGGAUCUGCCCGAGUACAGCAAAACCUUCGCUGCUGGCUGAGAUACAGGUGUGAGAAGGGGCAGAAAGCUGUGGAGCUCUCUGUAGGAGUGCCAGAAGGUAAGGGGGCAAUAUGAGAAAAUAGGGAGUAGCAGGACUCUUGCAGGAAAAAUGUUUGUGCUUGAAUAUGAUGUUGUCAUCCAAGGCUACGUUCCAUGGGAAACAAAUGGGUUUUAACUGUUAUUAAAAUAAUUACUCAAGUACAUGGAGUUUCUGGUACGAGAUGGCAUAUGGGAAUGUGCUGAACCAUAUUAAUCAAAACUGUUGGAAGGCUAUUGAGGGGUUAUGAAAGGAUAUAUUGAUGAGAUCCUGAACAGUGGGAUUGUUCUGCGAGAGCUGACAGAGUAGUCUGUGCUCAAACUGAUUCUUUGAAGCAAAAUCAAAUAUUUCUGUGUGAAGCCUUUAAUUUGUGGACCAGGCCUAACGGGGAUAUAGACAAUACCGGCUUUUUUAGUGGGUAAAUACGUGUCAGGAAGUGACAAAUAUUGUGUACAGUUGACCUGCAGCUGGGUUCACUUGGGGCUGUAGCAGAUGUGCAGUGGCAGACAGAAAUCGGGCAACUGGUGCUAUUACCACCCUCAGCUGUCACCCUCCCUGGCCCUCGGAUAGGACUUGGCCUUCCGUCAGGAGGGGUGUUGGACUCGAGCAGUUCUUCAGUCACCACAGUUUUCGGUUUGAUACAGUGAACUGAAAGUGCUUUAAUAUGCUGGGCUGACACGAUUGAUUCAGAGAGCAGAUCGGAUGUCCCUGUCCCACGAAGGACCACGUUCCCUUGGUUGUG